Molecule: ribosomal RNA, 253 nt
Filed under: uncultured bacterium
Lineage: Bacteria
Description: partial 16S ribosomal RNA
Rfam family: Bacterial small subunit ribosomal RNA
Source: RNAcentral
AACGUAGGACGCAAGCGUUAUCCGGAAUUACUGGGCGUAAAGCGCGUGUAGGUGGUUAGAUAAGUCACUGUUGAAAGCUCCUGGCUAAACUGGGAGAGGCGCGGUGAGACUGUCUGGCUAGAGUUUGGGAGAGGGAUGCAGAAUUCCGGGUGUAGUGGUGAAAUGCGUAGAGAUCCGGAGGAAUACCAGAGGCGAAGGCGGUAUCCUGGCCUAAUACUGACACUGAGACGCGAAAGCAUGGGGAGCGAACGGG